Cyprinus carpio (common carp) is the source of this 7304-nucleotide long non-coding RNA. RefSeq lists it as uncharacterized. NCBI's taxonomy places the organism in Eukaryota, Metazoa, Chordata, Actinopteri, Cypriniformes, Cyprinidae. The transcript is spliced from 4 exons. The record is from RefSeq and is a predicted model, not a curated record.
GAGAUUGGGUGAAACUGUGUGUUAUGCCCCCUUCAAAAGUAAGCCACAGGAGAGAAACGCGAUUGGUCAAAAGUAAGCCACAGGAGAGAAACGCGAUUGGUCAAAAGUAAGCCACAGGAGAGAAACGCGAUUGGUCAAAAGUAAGCCCCAGGAGAAAGGCGCGAUUGGUCAAAAGUAAGCCACAGGAGAGAAACGCGAUUGGUCAAAAGUAAGCCACAGGAGAGAUUACUUUUAGUCGCAAAUGCGAGAGGUAGCGGGAUCGAUGACCGCAUUCUCCAAAGGUUUUUUUUUUCCUGCUCUAAAAGUUAUAAUUACAUUUCAAUUUAGCACGCAGUGAUUGCUGUAUUUGGAUCCUUUGACAGAUAUUUUGAAUAAACUGAUUGGCCCACAGGGGAGAUGGAAAGGAAGUAGUCCGGCUCUCGUUUGCAAUGCAGGAUGAGCAGUACAGGACCGGCCGCAUACAGUAGGUUGAGGAGGAGGACGGGCAACAGGGUCGUGACGGGAAUCCUGUACAUUUCUGCAGUGUGUGGGUGCAGCGACACUCCAAUAUAAGACCACUGGCACUGUGGUGGACAGAAGCACAAGAUGUUGUUUUUGUGGCUUUGACUAAAUAUUGGAGAAGUUUUUCAUGUCUUACCUGUAAAAUGGCACUUGCAAAAUAUACCGUCCAAUCAAGCAUCCAAGUGCAGCCAGGUGUGUAAAGCCCAUAUGCAAAUGAACCCAGCAUUGGAAGCGUAUGGAACAGGAGCAGCAACAUCUGGAGACGAAAAGACAUCGUGCAACAAGUAUUACUUCAAUCUGUGUGUCAACACUACACGCCUUGCCUCUACACACCAGUGCUUUGAUGGCAAAUUAAUGCAGUCCAACUCAAUCCCCAAGGGCACCAGCGCUGCCGCAGCAAUGCACUCCCGCUGAAUACAGAUCGGCCCAACUGCAUUGAGUUCACACAAUCAUUCAUACUUAUUGAGGGGUAAAAACACAAACAUGGGUGCAUUACCCACAAUUAGACCCUAAACAGAGCCUGAUUUUGUUGCACAGCACGUGGUGUCUUUCAAGAAAGUUAUAACAAGCUGUGAAAGUCAUGUUCACCCAGGAAUUCAGAUACAUCUUUAGAGAAUUUAUUUUUAUUGCUUGAUUUUAAAUAUCACAUAGAAAAAGCAGCUAUUUAGGUAUAAAUAUAAUGUUAUAAUAUAUAUUAUACAUAUUCAUUUCUACAUUUAAAUACAUGUAUAAACAUUUAAAAUAAAAUAUAUAUAUUUUUAUGCAUAAAAUAAUAUACAUUAUUGUUUUGUAUAUAAAGUAAGCACUUUCAAUUAGAAUCGAAUCAGUCACAGAUGUUGAAUUGGAAUUUGAGUAGAAACAUUACAAGGAAUUUACCCUGCCUUAUACAUACUAUAUAAAUAUUCUUACCAGCACCUGGGCGUCCCUGAGUGCACAGGUAUUAUGCGAUCGAUGCGGGUUUCUGUCCUCUGUACAAGCAUACAUGUUGACGUGCCCUCAUUCCUUAUCAAACACAUUACCACACAUGUCACACUCUCUCCUUGUUUGAGUUGAUGGAGGGGCUCAGCAAGGACUCAUGGGUAGGAUUAGCUUAUCAAGUCACAGCACAUCUCCUGCCUGAUCGAUGGGCCACCAUUGUGCCAGUGUUUCAGCUGGAACAAGGACUUUUGAUAACCUAUUGACCAAGCUAAAACCCCAAUCUAAACAAAAACAAGGUACCCUCCAUACCUUUGUGCUCGGGCUGAGACAGGGGGGAUAUUCUUGGACUACCCAAGGUGACAAUAAGCCACCAACCUUAUUGAGUGCUAAUGAUGUUUAAUACUUACCGUACAGUCAUUUAGAGGAGCUUAAUGCUAUAAAGCUUAGGGUAUUAAAAAGCCUGAAUGUGUUGGCCUAAAACUGACCAAAUGUCAUUGCUUAAUAGUAUGUGAAAUGUACUCGCCGUAACUGGGGAAGCCCACAAGAUUCUUCAGAUAUGGUUCAUACUCUGUCAUAUCUGUUGAGGAUUUCUAACGGGCAAUCAAGAACGGCCUAUAUGGAUAAAGAUAUGAGUUUCUUUCUCCCAACUGAAUUAAUUAUGGAAAUCAUACGCAAGCAUAUGGUGAGCACCAACUUACCAAUCCUUUAAAGAUAGUGGAUCUCAUGGCAGCCACUAGAUAAACCACAAAGAGAAGAUCCAGGGGGCUCCAGAUCAAGGCUUUUUUCUGCUCACAUACAGCCUGAUUGAUACAAGCAGCAUUACUGAUUCUGUAGAGAAAAUACUAACCACUGACCAAUGUCAACGGUGUCUUGUUCUUCACCUUGGAUGCUCCCACAAGAGGCAUAUCCCUUGGCCUGGAGAACAAGAAAACAGUUCCCCAUAUAGGCACCAACAGAAAAGGCAUGUUGAGCCAGAAGGCAGGACAGAUCUCGGAGCCAUAUUUACCUGCAUAUAAAAUGUAUUUGAGAAGCAUCUUAUAAUGUUCAGCAGGAAUUCAUGAUCGUUUAUUUACUUUGACCCACCAACCACGAUUCUAGGUACAAACACAAUCAUGUUGGCACACAGCGAUCCAGGCCAGAAAAGACCCAAGGUGCAGUAUUGUUGCCUGGGAUGACAGGAAACACUAAUUUAGAAAAACCCACCUCCUUUUAAACAUAACAGCAUGUACUUUUAUGUCAUGUUCUUGCCAGAUAGUGUCAAACCUUUUACCAAUUUUUUAAAAAUGACAGACUCAUUUUUACAUCUUGGACUAGAGUACUGAAUAGCGUACAGAGUAGACAAUUUACAAACUUGUUUGACAUGCGGUGUAUUAGCAUCAGGUAGAGGAUCAAGUGUGUUAUACCAUCUUAGUAGCACAUCAUGAUAGCGUACGGUGUGCCGAGAUACGGCUACCCCUGGAGAACCAGCAAUACCAUCGUCAGACAGGUUUAGACUUGGUAAUCGAUAACAUGAACUCUGCUUUCUCUUCAUGAUACUAACUGUUUUCUGGUAGAACUCCAUGAACCCUGAGGUGAAGCCAUCAUAUUCUGGAACGCUUGUGAACUCGUGAAGGAAAACGGAGUAAAAACACAAUAACGUUAAUAAUCUUUUCUUCUGUUUAGUGUUCAAAUGUACAUGCUUUAGAUGUUGUAGUAUAUGUUACACAAGUGAAACAUGACUUCAUUGCGGUUUUCCAAUUUUUACUUUUGGUCACCUGAUAUUGUGAUAGAAUACUUUAUUCUGAUUGGUCAGUUGUGUGUGGUCCUAUGGAAUACUUGAUUCUGAUUGGUCAAUUGUGUGUGGUCCUAUGGAAUACUUGAUUCUGAUUGGCCCAUGGUGGCAUUCAGUGGUCUCAUAUUUGUAAUAAGCUAGUGAAUAUGGGGAAUUUCUAAGCUCAAAAUUCUCUUGGUUGACUGUUUUUUUAGGCUACAUUGUAGACUUGUAGAUUUUUAGAUAAUAUAGAGGUAAGAUUACAACAUAAUUUGAGUUAAAAAUUAAUAUUCAAACAUACACAUUUAUUUAUUUGGUGAGUCAUGCAAUAAGUGGAAUAUUGUACAAUAAGUCGCAUGAUUGAUUGGUUAUAUAUUUUCCACAUAUUCUCGUAUGCAAAUGUCACGUAUAAUUAACAUUAUGCAAAACUGCCCUGAAAUCAAACAAUAGAACACUUUCUUCCUCGGAAAGUGACAAACUGCUCUUGUCUAUAAUGAAAGAAAUGUUCAUUUACUUUGUUCAGUUUUAAUUGCAGGCUUUGCAAGAAAACGUAUCUCUCCCUAGUGGGAUUAUGAGCUCGGCUUCAUUGGCGCUUUCGAAACGCUGAAUUGAAAUGUUUUCGACUUUAACUCUAAGCCUUCUGUGAUGUGCCGAGAGAAAAACCUCACUAAUAAGAUGUUGCAGCGCUCAACUGCUCUAUCAAGAGUUAACCUUUAUUCUCAGUGUCUUUAUUAAAAAGAUUUCACUCUUACCGACUAUUGAUUUCUAGCAAGGUGGAAGGAUAAUGAUAUCUGCAAGUGGAGGUGUGAACAAGAAAUUUAUAUUUGGAGCCAUGUGGUGUUUUUUUUUUUUUUCUUUAUUUUUCUCCAGGUUUAAAGCGCAGCUCUGCCAAAAGGGCACUUUGCGGACACAGAAAAUACCCCAUGUGGCAUUUCCUAAGCAUCUGGGUGACAAAUAAUGAGUGGCAGGGGACAUGAAGAAAGAAAAUUCAUGAGCAUGGAGGCAAAAAUAAUGACUGUAAAUGUCACCACUGAAAGCUCAGACACAGGAUUUAACGGAAUAGUUCACGUAGACAUGAAAAAUCUGUCAUCAUUUACUUCACACUCAUGUCGUUCCAAAACCAUGUGACUCCAUUGGAACACAAUGGUGAAGUUUAGGGGAAUGUUCAUGCUGCUCUUUUUCAUAUAGAUAAAUGGUGAACUGUAAAGCUCAACAUGAUGGUAGCCUAACUGAUACGUUUCAAUUUGGGUGAAAUAUUCCUUUAAUAAUCUUUUCCGAGCAAAGUUUUCAAGAUGGAAUUUAUAGCCUAUUGUGAAGGAAACCAUGGGUGUAAAAGUAAAGACAGGUGUGUUAUUGUAACAAAUACUUUUCUUGUAUCCAAUUUCAUGGUUGGUUUGCUAGACUAGAUAUUGUCCAGUGUCAUUCUUCUUGCGUUCAAGAGUAUCUGACUGACAGCUUCGUAGAUAUAACAGCUCAAUGAGAAGUGCUGUAUUGCUAUCCGCUGAGCACAGAUGCACAGUCUGAUACUGACGUUUUCGCUUUCUGUCUUUCUCGCCUCCCCUUUUCUCCCGAGCCCUUUUAAUCCAUAGGGGUCUUGGUUUAGUUUACCUGUAUUACAGGUGCGAUAAUGGAAUUAUCGUCUCCUUCAUCAUGGCAGGGUGAAAAAAUAACAUGCUGUGCAAGAUGACAUUGUCACCUCUCAGUCACUCAAACCCAUAAUAACACCACUAUUUUAAGCUAGAUUUCUAGCAUUACAUUGCAAAAGCUUAAAUUUUUUUAUUGUGUCCUAAUACGAAGCAGAUUGGAAAUGCACAAGAGUUUGCGUUUAUUGAUUUGGGGAUUUUAAAACUAACCUUUCAUAAAGCGUAUUCUUUUCAGAUUAUUUUUUAAGUUUGUAUAUAUAGGCCUACCACGUGUCACAGAAGAAUUUUGUAAUUUUUUGUCUGGCAUUGUAAACAUUUUGGUAGGAGACAUGGCAAUUUUUUUGCCCCGUUUUUCGGAAAAUUGUGCAUGUGUCACCACAACUUCCACUGGUUUUUGUGUAAACCUCCCUGAACCUUUAAUACGGUGAGAGAAAAUGUCAAUGAAAUGCCAGUAUCUGCAUUCCACCGAUACUAAUGAGUUUAAAUUGCCUCAUUCAGUGCAGCAACAAAACAAUUAAAGGGAUAGUUAACCCAAAAAUGAAAAUUCUGUCAUUAAUUACUCAACCAUUCCAAACUCAUAAGACCUUCGUUCAUCUUCAUAGAAACGCCACUGACACAUUCAAAAUGCAGAAAGGUACGCAUGUCUCGUGAACUCACAUCUUUGACAUGGUGAAGAAAUUGCUGGAUAAAGUUGUUUUUUUUUCUUUGCACACAAACAGUAUUCUCGUUGCUUCAUAACAUUACGGUUGAACCACUGAUGUCACAUGGACUAUAUUACCGAUGUCCUUUUUACCUUUCUGAGCCUUGAUCGCGGUAAUUUCAUUGUUGCCUAUGCAUUGUCAGAAAGCUCUCGGAUUUCAUCAAAAAUAUCUUAAUUUUUGUUCUGAAGAUGAACGAAGGCUUUGAAACGACAUGAGGGUGAGUAAUUAAUGACAGAAUUUUCAUUGUUGGGUGAACUAUCCUUUUAAAUAAUUUAUGCAGAUGUAUGUAACCUUAAACAGAAAAAAAAAUUGGUGUUUUUGAGACCAUAUUUCAAAUCAUCUGACGUUUAUUUAUUUGAGGGUCAGAAAGAAAUGACGAUAAGCUGCAUAUCUCAAGAGUUAACUAAUCAAAUCAGUGUCAGAGCUCAUACUAUAGAACAAACAAUCUUUUGGAGGAUUGUAGUGAGUAGCGAGGUAGACCAAGAGGAACACCACCACAAGAACAGCCCCCCCAAUUUCCAGAAUAACCACUGGCCUGUAAUUGCAAAAUAUGAGUCAACAUAAUAUCAGAUUUAGCUCGCUGUGACUGACCAUAGUCUGUAAAUAAUCUAAAAAUAGGCCACUGACCACAGUCAGAUUUCUUCCUGUCAAUCAUUUUGCGCAAAGUUUUCGUGAGUUUGCAGUGUGCGAAAUGUUCACAGUUUCUCUUCUGACAACAUCGACAAGUGUUUUAAAGGAAAGACAGAAAAAAUAGUAAGAAUGAGGGAAAUUAAGAGGCUAAAGGAUCAAAAAAGAAACAAUGGAACAUUGAAAUCUUAAAGGCGCUUGAAACUGAAAUUUUUUUUUAACAAGUAUACCUAUUAUUGUUACUAUUAUCAUAGUAGCAUUGAUAAGUAUUAAAUAUUUAAUCAAGAAGAUGUCCUUCAAGCCUAUCUUAAAGGAUGCCAUACUUUAAUAAAUACAUUUUUUGAUUCAUUUUGCAUAGAGAUUACUACACACCUAUGUGUAUUCGGCCGUUUUCUUUCCUGUCUUCAGUAAGUGAGCAGAGAUGAAUGGUUUGGCAGAGAGAACUGUAAUUAUUCCAACACCCAGAGCACCAAAUGAGAUGGGGUGGGGGGGAGCACAUGACAACCAUCCUGCCUUACUGAGACAUGAUUACUGUUGUAUGAGGAGCUAUUCAGACAGAGGACAUGUCUUAUUGUCAACAUGAGAGUCAAUACAGCCUUCAACAGAAACAAUGGUUGUUUAAAAUGAAUAAAUGAAGGCACAGAAGUACAGUGAAAUACCACUUUUCGAUGACCUUUAUUGUUUUCAAUUAUUGGACUGUUUUUAUUGUUUCUAUACAGUAUAUAUAGCUUAUUUAGUUUUUUACAAAAUAUUUUUUUAAAUGUAUAAUUUGUGAACCAUUUCAUCUGAUGCAUUAAAAAUAACUGACACAAAAGAAUGAUUCUGCAAUCAGGCAUCACUAAAUGUUGUAGUUAAACUUUGACCUUCAUUUUAUUAAUAACAGAAAAUUGCAGUUGCAGACUGCAAUUUCAAUCUCAGGCAGUCAUAUUUCUAUUUAAAUUUAAAUUGGCCUCUUUUUGUGAUGUUAAGACCAGCCUGGGGAGAGAUGUGCACACAAAUGUCUUAGUUUUCCAAGCGUGGUCUAUAAUUUUCUUGGCUUGUACUGCUUUGGAACUCCUACAUCAUUUAAAUGGCUGUAAUGUUGUGUAUUUGAUAUUUUGUUUUUGUCAGGCUGCAGUUAUUGUUUUUUUUUCUAUCAAUAAAAGCAGUAGCUUGAGUCUAGAA